Molecule: non-coding RNA, 1334 nt
Organism: Coffea arabica (coffee)
Lineage: Eukaryota; Viridiplantae; Streptophyta; Magnoliopsida; Gentianales; Rubiaceae
Source: RefSeq, a predicted model, not a curated record
UAUUUAAAUCAGAUGAGGGGAUCUUUUGCAAGCAUUUCUUUUCAUUUUGCUAUUGCAAUAAUUACUGAAAAAUGCAGAGCCAAGGUAUAUUCGUGCAAAAACAUGAAUAUUCUGGAGUAUUUUCAAAAUGAGACUCAUUUUAGCUAAUGAAUACUUAUUAGUGGGUUUACAAUUUUGUCAAGUUAUUAGAGCUUUAUUAUGCCAGCAAUACACUAGAUCAUUUACCUACACUACCUGCAAAAGGUUUUUUUAUUAGAUUUUAGGCAAGAAUAAUGAGUUUUCUAUUAAGUUAUGGUAAGGUUGAGUAUGAGAAAAUUUAGUCCUUGGGAAAAAUGCCAUAUUCACAUUUUUACAUGGAAAAUGCAAUUUUUUGUUUUGUUAUGUAUGUACAUUUAUGGCCCGUAUCUGUUCACAUGAAAUAAUUGCUUAGAAUAAUCAUUUAUGCAAAUUGAUGUGGUCUGAUGCCAAGUUUAGGAUGGGUAGGGAGCUGUAAUGCAAGUGUUUAUUCCUUGAGCGGGACGGCUUCAAUUAAUGAUCUGUUUUUAUUUACUUGAUGAUAAUGUAAAAAGUGAGUUACAUAAUGCUAUAGGGGUUGAGUAAAGGGGAAAGGAGUUAUAUUACAAUGAGGUGGAUGCUUGGUAAAGGUUGAUGGUGCUAAAAUUUCUUGUAGAUUUGAACAAGAUACUUAAAUGAGCUUACAUUUCUUCAAAUUGUGAAUGGUUUAUGGAUGCAUCAAAGGGAAUACCCACAACAAUUGAUCAGCAUCAAAGGGAAUACCCACAACAAUACAUCAAGAUAUUACCUGAAAUACACUAAUAAGCAAACACUAUUUGGUUGGAAGAUAGAAAAAUCAAUUCCAAGUGCAGUACAUAAGUCCCGAUUGGCCUUUAUAUUAAGAAACUCAAUUGCAGAACUAUGUUAACAAAAUGGCACUUCUCACAUGUGCAGAAACAUCUCAUCAGAGGUUGUUUUCAUUAGCUCAACCUAAGCUUUUGCCUUUCUUGGAUUUCUUCUGGAGUUGGAAGCAAAAAUGGCCACCUGUGAAGAACAACUGGUGAGACAAAACGUGGUUAAAGUUUUGCCCAAGACAAGGAUUCUCAAAUAUUAGAUUCUAAACACCUGCUUGAAAUAGUAUCUUAUCGUAUUUUGGCAGCAAGUCUUGAUCAAAGCAUGUAAGCAGUGAAGCAAAUCAGAUGGUAGAUUGUUUAGCUAAUGUAUAGGAUGCUAACAACAGGAUAUCUUUUAUUAUGAUGUUAUGCCCCACCAUCUUUUAGUUGCAAGAUGACUGUUUGGGGAUUUUAUUCUCAUUUUGUAUGAUUGUAUAUUAUUUUAAA